GAGAGAAGCUUAAUGGAGGAGCCUUGCCUAGUAUGCAAGGGAACACAAAUUGUCUGCAUCAAGUGGUAAUAAGGAAAUAUUGUUUAUUCUUUGCAGAGAUGAGAAAAUCUUUUCCAGGCAGAGAAACUGAGGAACAGAGAUGUCAGGAUACUUUGAGUGGGAGCCAGAAUGCUUCAUUUAGGUACCAAGAAUAACAACUGCUUUACAUUCGUUGUAGAUCCCCAGCUACAGGGGUUGAGCCAGUUAUCUUAAAGGAAGAGCUGAAGUUUCCCAUGAAGUCUGCCACUAAAUUACUGUGGAAGA
RNAcentral lists this long non-coding RNA (303 nucleotides) under Struthio camelus australis. RNAcentral describes it as "lncRNA (ENSSCUG00000016870.1)". The record is from RNAcentral. Lineage: Eukaryota; Metazoa; Chordata; Aves; Struthioniformes; Struthionidae.